GUGGGGAAUCUUAGACAAUGGGGGAAACCCUGAUCUAGCCAUGCCGCGUGAUCGAUGAAGGCCUUAGGGUUGUAAAGAUCUUUCAGCUGGGAAGAUAAUGACGGUACCAGCAGAAGAAGCCCCGGCUAACUCCGUGCCAGCAGCCGCGGUAAUACGGAGGGGGCUAGCGUUAUUCGGAAUUACUGGGCGUAAAGCGCACGUAGGCGGAUCAGAAAGUCAGAGGUGAAAUCCCAGGGCUCAACCUUGGAACGGCCUUUGAAACUCCUGGUCUUGAGUUCGAGAGAGGUGAGUGGAAUUCCGAGUGUAGAGGUGAAAUUCGUAGAUAUUCGGAGGAACACCAGUGGCGAAGGCGGCUCACUGGCUCGAUACUGACGCUGAGGUGCGAAAGCGUGGGGAGCAAACAGGAUUAGAUACCCCUGUAGUCC
This 425-nucleotide ribosomal RNA is filed under the name uncultured bacterium. Its description in RNAcentral is "partial 16S ribosomal RNA". It matches the Rfam family "Bacterial small subunit ribosomal RNA", at positions 354 to 796 of the family's 1533-position model. The record is from RNAcentral.